UGUAUAUGAAAAUGUUACUGGCACUCUGCCUUUUGGAGUACUAUUUUGUAUUUUUGAAGUGGAUAUGAGGUGGUUUCAUUUAUAUCUGCGGAGGUGCUGUCUUCCUUUUGCAGAAUGCCUAUUUGUUGUUGACAGUCAAGUGGAAAGUUUCACCAAAUUGAUGACGGGGGUUUUAAAUUUUGAAGUUAUUAAUUGAAGUCUAGCUGCUUGUAUAGGACAAAUUCAGUG
This 228-nucleotide unclassified non-coding RNA is filed under the name Hevea brasiliensis (rubber tree). Lineage: Eukaryota; Viridiplantae; Streptophyta; Magnoliopsida; Malpighiales; Euphorbiaceae. The record is from RNAcentral.